AUAAAUAUCUAAUUAAACCAACCA
RNAcentral lists this small nuclear RNA (24 nucleotides) under Arabidopsis thaliana (thale cress). RNAcentral's name for it is "snRNA_18465". Lineage: Eukaryota; Viridiplantae; Streptophyta; Magnoliopsida; Brassicales; Brassicaceae. The record is from RNAcentral.